CGCCAUCAUGGCUGCCUGCUGUAGGGAGGGGGAAAUGAGGCGGUGUCGAUGGGGGUGGGGAGCCUCAGGGAGUGUCUUUUUUUUUUCCAGAACUUUCCUCAUCUUUUUUCCAGCCCUGUAUUCUUUCUGACCCACGGACCGGCGUCCAGUUUAGCUUACUCAUUUAAGGACCUGAGGAAGAUGCUGCUCAAAAGGAGUAAAAAAAAUUCGGCUUAAUUACGGGAAGGCUUUGGAGCUACGAUUUCUGAUUGUUCUGUUUCCGAAGAGGCUCGUGAUGUAAUCAUUUUGAAGUCUUUGAAAAGCAUUAUAAUAAAGCCUUAUCGUUGCUGUUGUUUCUUUAAAUUUAGGAACCCUGCGUUGACCCGUUUAAUUUUAAAUAAGAACAAUGGUGCUUAAAAAAAAAGUCUGCUUUUGAGUAUAAGAUGCCCAAUUCUGGUGGAUCGCGUAUUGUGAUUACCUCAUUUUUACUGAAACUGUUUAAAAAA
Herpailurus yagouaroundi (jaguarundi) is the source of this 485-nucleotide long non-coding RNA. RefSeq lists it as uncharacterized. The record is from RefSeq and is a predicted model, not a curated record. The transcript has 2 exons. NCBI's taxonomy places the organism in Eukaryota, Metazoa, Chordata, Mammalia, Carnivora, Felidae.